Molecule: ribosomal RNA, 559 nt
Filed under: uncultured bacterium
Lineage: Bacteria
Description: bacterial SSU rRNA
Rfam family: Bacterial small subunit ribosomal RNA
Source: RNAcentral
AGUAAAGUGGCGCACGGGUGAGUAACACGUGAAUAAUCCACCUACGGGUUUGGGAUAACGCACCGAAAGGUGUGCUAAUACCGGAUAAGACCACAGUGACUGCGGUCACAGGGGUUAAAGGGGGCCUCUCCUUGGAAGCUUCCGCCCAUAGACGAGUUCGCGUCCCAUUAGCUUGUUGGUAAGGUAACGGCUUACCAAGGCCGCGAUGGGUAGCUGGUCUGAGAGGAUGAUCAGUCACACUGGGACUGGAACACGGCCCAGACUCCUACGGGAGGCAGCAGUGGGGAAUCUUGCGCAAUGGGGGAAACCCUGACGCAGCCACGCCGCGUGGGUGAAGAAGGCCUUCGGGUCGUAAAGCCCUGUCAGGUGGGAAGAAACGCAUUGGACUGAAUAAGUCCGUUGCCUGACGGUACCACCAAAGGAAGCACCGGCUAACUCCGUGCCAGCAGCCGCGGUAAUACGGAGGGUGCAAGCGUUGUCCGGAAUCAUUGGGUGUAAAGGGUGUGCAGGCGGAAGUCUAAGUCGGAGGUGAAAUCUUGCCGCUUAACGGUAAAAGGGC